GAUGAACGCUGGCGGCGUGCCUAACACAUGCAAGUCGAGCGAUUCUCUUCGGAGAAGAGCGGCGGACGGGUGAGUAACGCGUGGGUAACCUGCCCUGUACACACGGAUAACAUACCGAAAGGUAUGCUAAUACGGGAUAACAUAAGAAAUUCGCAUGUUUUUCUUAUCAAAGCUCCGGCGGUACAGGAUGGACCCGCGUCUGAUUAGCUAGUUGGUGAGGUAAUGGCUCACCAAGGCGACGAUCAGUAGCCGACCUGAGAGGGUGAUCGGCCACAUUGGAACUGAGACACGGUCCAAACUCCUACGGGAGGCAGCAGUGGGGAAUAUUGCACAAUGGGCGAAAGCCUGAUGCAGCAACGCCGCGUGAGCGAUGAAGGCCUUCGGGUCGUAAAGCUCUGUCCUCAAGGAAGAUAAUGACGGUACUUAGAGGAGGAAGCCCCGGACUAACUACGUGCCAGCCAGGCCGACGGUAAACUCACGUAGUA
Molecule: ribosomal RNA, 485 nt
Filed under: uncultured bacterium
Lineage: Bacteria
Description: bacterial SSU rRNA
Rfam family: Bacterial small subunit ribosomal RNA
Source: RNAcentral